RNAcentral lists this ribosomal RNA (669 nucleotides) under uncultured Acidobacteriota bacterium. Its description in RNAcentral is "SSU rRNA". It matches the Rfam family "Bacterial small subunit ribosomal RNA", at positions 243 to 916 of the family's 1533-position model. Lineage: Bacteria; Pseudomonadati; Acidobacteriota. The record is from RNAcentral.
AGCUAGUUGGUGAGGUAACGGCUCACCAAGGCUAUGAUCGUUAGCUGGUCUGAGAGGAUGGCCAGCCACACUGGAACUGAGACACGGUCCAGACUCCUACGGGAGGCAGCAGUGGGGAAUCUUGCACAAUGGGCGAAAGCCUGAUGCAGCGACGCCGCGUGGGGGAUGAAGCUUUUCGGAGUGUAAACCCCUUUCGACCCGGACGAAUGCCCCGCAAGGGGACUGACGGUACGGGUAUAAGAAGCCCCGGCUAACUACGUGCCAGCAGCCGCGGUAAGACGUAGGGGGCCAGCGUUGCUCGGAAUUACUGGGUGUAAAGGGUUCGUAGGCGGUGUGGCAAGUCGGGAGUGAAAUCUCUGGGCUCAACCCAGAGGCUGCUUCCGAAACUGCUGUGCUUGAGUGUGGGAGAGGCGCGUGGAAUUGCAGGUGUAGCGGUGAAAUGCGUAGAUAUCUGCAGGAACACCCGUGGCGAAAGCGGCGCGCUGGACCACAACUGACGCUGAGGAACGAAAGCUAGGGGAGCAAACAGGAUUAGAUACCCUGGUAGUCCUAGCCCUAAACGAUCAGGACUUGGGGUGCUUCACGUUCGUGGAGCGUCCCGGAGCUAACGCGUUAAGUCCUGCACCUGGGGAGUACGGUCGCAAGACUGAAACUCAAAGGAAUUGACGG